Long non-coding RNA from Pygocentrus nattereri (red-bellied piranha), 450 nucleotides. RefSeq lists it as uncharacterized. The record is from RefSeq and is a predicted model, not a curated record. NCBI's taxonomy places the organism in Eukaryota, Metazoa, Chordata, Actinopteri, Characiformes, Serrasalmidae. The transcript is spliced from 4 exons.
GCAGUGCAGUGUAGCAUGGUUGUCUUUAGGUUGGGUUUUUGGUGAUCUUCAGGAUGGUUUCUCAGAGAGUCAUUGUGGGUUUUCUUCUGAUUGUGCUGAUCUCUAAUGUGUUGGGGUCUCUGGCUGAGCGUGAACAGGCACGUGCAGAGGGGCUUAUCCUAUCACGGCUGAUCAGAAACUACAGAGAGACCAAUGGUGGAGCAGAACAGCUGUUCCGGGUGGUUAGAGAUGAACGUUCAGUUGAUGAUGAUUAUGAUUCAGGCUCUGGAAACUGACGUGGUGCUGACGUGAGAUGAACGCCUUGAGGGAAAGCUGUCCACAUGAGGUUGCCAACAUCCCAUGAUCCUGCAGCAUCUGAGCAUGUGUGGUGGUCAGCCUGCAUGACCUCACAGGGUCCAGCUUCAUGCCUCAUGGAUUCUUUGUCUUGGAAUAAAUGUUUUCCUCAACUGC